Molecule: ribosomal RNA, 301 nt
Filed under: uncultured bacterium
Lineage: Bacteria
Description: partial 16S ribosomal RNA
Rfam family: Bacterial small subunit ribosomal RNA
Source: RNAcentral
CAGUAGCCGCGGUAAUACGAAGGGUGCAAGCGUUACUCGGAAUCACUGGGCGUAAAGCGUGCGUAGGUGGUGGUUUAAGUCCGUUGUGAAAGCCCUGGGCUCAACCUGGGAAUUGCAGUGGAUACUGGAUCACUAGAGUGCGGUAGAGGAUAGUGGAAUUUCCGGUGUAGCAGUGAAAUGCGUAGAGAUCGGAAGGAACAUCUGUGGCGAAGGCGACUAUCUGGGCCAACACUGACACUGAGGCACGAAAGCGUGGGGAGCAAACAGGAUUAGAUACCCCAGUAGUCCCUGUCUCUUAUAC